CAGUCGCCGCGGUAAUACGUAGGGUGCAAGCGUUAAUCGGAAUUACUGGGCGUAAAGCGUGCGCAGGCGGUUUGUUAAGACAGAUGUGAAAUCCCCGGGCUUAACCUGGGAACUGCAUUUGUGACUGGCAAGCUAGAGUAUGGCAGAGGGGGGUGGAAUUCCGCGUGUAGCAGUGAAAUGCGUAGAUAUGCGGAGGAACACCGAUGGCGAAGGCAGCCCCCUGGGCCAAUACUGACGCUCAUGCACGAAAGCGUGGGGAGCAAACAGGAUUAGAUACCCCUGUAGUCCCUGUCUCUUAUAC
RNAcentral lists this ribosomal RNA (301 nucleotides) under uncultured bacterium. Its description in RNAcentral is "partial 16S ribosomal RNA". It matches the Rfam family "Bacterial small subunit ribosomal RNA", at positions 509 to 807 of the family's 1533-position model. The record is from RNAcentral.